Molecule: ribosomal RNA, 468 nt
Filed under: uncultured bacterium
Lineage: Bacteria
Description: partial 16S ribosomal RNA
Rfam family: Bacterial small subunit ribosomal RNA
Source: RNAcentral
GACGAACGCUGGCGGCGUGCUUAACACAUGCAAGUCGAACGGAAAGGCCCUGCUUUUGUGGGGUGCUCGAGUGGCGAACGGGUGAGUAACACGUGAGUAACCUGCCCUUGACUUUGGGAUAACUUCAGGAAACUGGGGCUACUACCGGAUAGGAGCUCCUGCUGCAUGGUGGGGGUUGGAAAGUUUCGGCGGUUGGGGGUGGACUCGCGGCUUAUCAGCUUGUUGGUGGGGUAGUGGCUUACCAAGGCUUUGACGGGUAGCCGGCCUGAGAGGGUGACCGGCCACAUAGGGACUUAGAGACGGCCGAGACGGCUACGGGAGGCAGCAGGGGGGAAUAUUGCACAAUGGGCGGAGGCCUGGUGCAGCAACGCCGCGUGCUGGAUGACGGCUUUCGGGUUAUAAAACGCUUGCGCCUGUAACGAAGCGUGAGUUACGGUAAUGGGUAAAGAAGCACCGGCUAACUACGUG